AAGCUAGUGCUUGGAGUCUAGUGUAGUUCCUUAGUGGGUCAUGCUCUGGUAUAUGUAACAUCGGGACGGGAUGUUUUACUUUGUUUUCAUUUUCGGGUUGUUGAACAAUUUUACAUGUAAUGUAGUUACAUGGUUUGCAUGUUGUUAGAUUUCUAUCCGCUGCGAAUUGUGCAAUGUUUUAUUUUGAUUAAUAAAGGAGCAUGACAAGUUAUUUUGGUGAAUGGUGUGAAGU
RNAcentral lists this long non-coding RNA (232 nucleotides) under Lathyrus oleraceus (garden pea). RNAcentral's name for it is "Pisum sativum (pea) long non-coding RNA (PSAT_LNC006891)". Lineage: Eukaryota; Viridiplantae; Streptophyta; Magnoliopsida; Fabales; Fabaceae. The record is from RNAcentral.